ACAAAGGAAGAAGGUGGUAUUCCAGC
RNAcentral lists this non-coding RNA (26 nucleotides) under Homo sapiens (human). Lineage: Eukaryota; Metazoa; Chordata; Mammalia; Primates; Hominidae. The record is from RNAcentral.